Molecule: long non-coding RNA, 510 nt
Filed under: Vigna radiata
Lineage: Eukaryota; Viridiplantae; Streptophyta; Magnoliopsida; Fabales; Fabaceae
Description: long non-coding RNA (VRAD_LNC017188)
Source: RNAcentral
UAUAAAGAUAUGUAUGAUUAUGCUAAAAGACCUUAAUUGAUUUUAAAAAUAAUACUUUAAAUUUUAAUAACAAUUAAGUUGAGUGCUAAAGUGAAGGUUAAGACAGAUUAUUAUAGGAAGGUGUUGGGGCAAAUGGGCAAGUGAACUGAGUCGAACAAGUAAUAUAAAAUGGUAAGACCAAAUAUCGUAUCCUAGAGGACUCUCGGCGCUGAACAGUUGUGUGAAAACAAGAUUAAUUAAGACUUAGAGUAAAAGAGAUCAUGGGUUUGUAUUGCAAAAAAUAAUAAAAUAAAGCAAAUUAAAAUUGAUUAGUGGCAAAAAGCACAGAGAUGAAUGAAGGUUGAUUUAUAUGAGAUGAGUAUGUUGUUGGGGUUAGAUUUCACCAAGUUCCCUCUCAUGUAUAUAAGAAUUCUUCUUUAUUCAUUAAUGCCAACGUCCCUCACUAAAACACUUAAACCCGAUGUCUCGGUAAGUAAGCCUAUCCCUAUUUACCAGUUCAUACAAUUCCUA